UACGUAGGGUGCAAGCGUUGUCCGGAAUUAUUGGGCGUAAAGAGCUCGUAGGCGGUCUGUUGCGUCGGCUGUGAAAACCCGGGGCUCAACCCCGGGCCUGCAGCCGAUACGGGCAGACUAGAGUUCGGCAGGGGAGACUGGAAUUCCUGGUGUAGCGGUGAAAUGCGCAGAUAUCAGGAGGAACACCGGUGGCGAAGGCGGGUCUCUGGGCCGAUACUGACGCUGAGGUUUCGAAAGCCAGGGAGCAAACGGG
Molecule: ribosomal RNA, 253 nt
Filed under: uncultured bacterium
Lineage: Bacteria
Description: partial 16S ribosomal RNA
Rfam family: Bacterial small subunit ribosomal RNA
Source: RNAcentral